GACGAACGCUGGCGGCGUGCCUAACACAUGCAAGUCGAACGGAAAGGCCCUGCUUUUGUGGGGUGCUCGAGUGGCGAACGGGUGAGUUACACGUGAGUAACCUGCCCUUGACUUUGGGAUAUCUUCAUGAAACUGGGGCUAAUACCGGAUAGGAGCUCCUGCUGCAUGGUGGGGGUUGGAUAGUUUCGGCGGUUGGGGAUGGACUCGCGGCUGAUCAGCUUGUUGGUGGGGUAGUGGCUUACCAAGGCUUUGACGGGUAGCCGGCCUGAGAGGGGGAACGGGCACAUUGGGACUGAGAUAAGGCCCAGACUCCAACGGGAGGCAGCAGUGGGGAAUAUUGCACAAUGGGCGGAAGCCUGAUGCGGCAAAGCCGCGUGCGGGAAGACGGCCUUGGGGUUGUAAACCGCUGUCGCCUGAGACGAAGCGUGAGUGACGGUAAUGGGUAAAGAAGCACCGGCUAACUACGUG
Molecule: ribosomal RNA, 468 nt
Filed under: uncultured bacterium
Lineage: Bacteria
Description: partial 16S ribosomal RNA
Rfam family: Bacterial small subunit ribosomal RNA
Source: RNAcentral